GCUCGCAUAGCUCAGUGGCAGAGCGCUUGACUUGUACGGCAAGGUCCUCGGUUCGAAACCCGAACACGGACGACUUACAAAUUAAUCAAGAGGUCGGUGGUUCAAUCCCGCCUGUGAGCA
Aspergillus glaucus CBS 516.65 is the source of this 120-nucleotide transfer RNA. It matches the Rfam family "tRNA". From Rfam's summary of the family: Transfer RNA (tRNA) molecules are approximately 80 nucleotides in length. Their secondary structure includes four short double-helical elements and three loops (D, anti-codon, and T loops). The record is from Rfam. Lineage: Eukaryota; Fungi; Ascomycota; Eurotiomycetes; Eurotiales; Aspergillaceae.